This 379-nucleotide long non-coding RNA is filed under the name Equus caballus (horse). RNAcentral describes it as "lncRNA (ENSECAG00000052028.1)". The record is from RNAcentral. Lineage: Eukaryota; Metazoa; Chordata; Mammalia; Perissodactyla; Equidae.
UGUGCACUUAACUGCUGCGCCACCAGCAAGGCAUUCUGGGAGUAGGAGAAAUGCUGAAUUCUGGAGAGGAAGACUUGGCUACAAACCUGUGGCCCUGGGGUGGAGCCGUCUGGCCCAGACAGAGUGAGCACUGUUCACAAGAGCUAAGACAUGGAAACAAUCCAAGUGCCUAUCGACUGAUGAUCGGAUACAGAAGAUGUGGGAUAUAUAUGAUGGAAUACUACUCAGCCAUAAAAAAAAACAAAAUCAUCCCAUUUGCAGCAAUAUGGAUGGACCUGGAGGGUAUUAUGCUAAGCAAAAUAAGCCAGACUGAGAAAGACAAACACCAUAUGAUUUCACUUAUAUGCAUAAUAUAAACAAAUACAUGGACAGAGAAAAC